GAGGUGCUUGCACCUUAUCUUAGCGGCGGACGGGUGAGUAAUGCUUAGGAAUCUGCCUAUUAGUGGGGGACAACAUUCCGAAAGGGAUGCUAAUACCGCAUACGUCCUACGGGAGAAAGCAGGGGAUCUUCGGACCUUGCGCUAAUAGAUGAGCCUAAGUCGGAUUAGCUAGUUGGUGGGGUAAAGGCCUACCAAGGCGACGAUCUGUAGCGGGUCUGAGAGGAUGAUCCGCCACACUGGGACUGAGACACGGCCCAGACUCCUACGGGAGGCAGCAGUGGGGAAUAUUGGACAAUGGGGGGAACCCUGAUCCAGCCAUGCCGCGUGUGUGAAGAAGCCUUAUGGUUGUAAAGCACUUUAAGCGAGGAGGAGCUACUGAGACUAAUACUCUUGGAUAGUGGACGUUACUCGCAGAAUAAGCACCGGCUAACUCUGUGCCAGCAGCCGCGGUAAUACAGAGGUGCGAGCGUUAAUCGGAUUUACUGGGCGUAAAGCGUGCGU
Molecule: ribosomal RNA, 501 nt
Filed under: uncultured Acinetobacter sp.
Lineage: Bacteria; Pseudomonadati; Pseudomonadota; Gammaproteobacteria; Moraxellales; Moraxellaceae
Description: bacterial SSU rRNA
Rfam family: Bacterial small subunit ribosomal RNA
Source: RNAcentral